Molecule: long non-coding RNA, 212 nt
Filed under: Lupinus angustifolius (narrow-leaved blue lupine)
Lineage: Eukaryota; Viridiplantae; Streptophyta; Magnoliopsida; Fabales; Fabaceae
Description: long non-coding RNA (LANG_LNC000134)
Source: RNAcentral
CGCACAAACCAAAUCCUAAGAAAGAACAAAACUAAAAGAAAAAAGGUCUGAACCAGCAAAGAACAUCUAUGUUUGGGAAUCGGAUCCAUAAAACACGCUUUGAAAGAGUGAUGAUGAUGGUCUCUCAUAUGUUUUCAUAUUCACAUUUCAUAGACAUCUAGUUCUGCCCAUGGCCCCAAUUCCCAAAUGCAUCUUUGACAAAAGCAAUAAAG